Molecule: long non-coding RNA, 855 nt
Filed under: Monodelphis domestica (gray short-tailed opossum)
Lineage: Eukaryota; Metazoa; Chordata; Mammalia; Didelphimorphia; Didelphidae
Description: lncRNA (ENSMODG00000028441.2)
Source: RNAcentral
UCACAACAUCACCCCCAAAACACACACACACACACACACUCAAGGCACAUUGAUUCUUCCUCUUUCAGGGAAAUACAGACUCACCGACAGACACUCGCUCACAUACUCACACGUGCUUAGUUAUUCUUUUAAUAGGCGUUGCUUUUUUAAGAGAUUGUCAGUUCUUACUUUAUUAGGGUGAGUUAGUUGAAGAAAUGAUUAUGUGUAGAUUUUUAUUGUGGAAAGAAAGAGGGAAGGAGGGAAGGAAGGAAGGAGGGAAGGAAGGAAGGAAGGAAGGAAGGAAGGAAGGAAGGAAGGAAGGAAGGAAGGAAGGAAGUAAGUAAGGAAGGAAGGAAGGAAGGAAGGAAGAAAGAAAGAAAGAAGGAAAGAAGGAAAGAAGGAAAGAAAGAAAGAAAGAAGGAAAGAAAGAAAGAAAGAAAGAAAGAAAGAAAGAAAGAAAGAAAGAAAGAAAGAAAGAAAGAAAGAAAGAAAGAAAGAAAGAAAGAAAGAAAGAAAGAAAGAAAGAAAGAAAGAAAGAAAGAAAGAAAGAAAGAAAGAAAGAAAGAAGGAAAGGAUGGAAGGAAGGAAGGAAGGAAGGAAGGAAGGAAGGAAGGAAGGAAGGAAUGAAGGAAGGAAAGAAAGAAGGAAAGAAAGAAAGAAAGAAAGAAAGAAAGAAAGAUAGAAAGAAAGACAGAAAGAAAGAUAGACAGACAGAAAGAAAGAAAGAAAGAAAGAAAGAAAGAAAGAAAGAAAGAAAGAAAGAAAGAAAGAAAGAAAGGAAGGAAGGAAGGAAGGAAGGGAAGGAUCGAAGGUACGCACGCAAGGAAGGAAGGAAGGAAAGCUAGGGAAUGAAGGAAGGGAAGGCAGGAAGUAAGG